Small nuclear RNA from Cavia porcellus (domestic guinea pig), 163 nucleotides. Its record names the gene U1. It matches the Rfam family "U1 spliceosomal RNA". From Rfam's summary of the family: U1 is a small nuclear RNA (snRNA) component of the spliceosome (involved in pre-mRNA splicing). Its 5' end forms complementary base pairs with the 5' splice junction, thus defining the 5' donor site of an intron. NCBI's taxonomy places the organism in Eukaryota, Metazoa, Chordata, Mammalia, Rodentia, Caviidae. The record is from Ensembl.
AUACUUAUCUGGCAGGGGAGAUACCAUGGUCAGGAAGGUGGUUUUCCCACAGCGAGGCUUAUCCAUUGCACUCCAGAUGUGCUGACCCCUGCUAUUUCCCAAAUGUGGGAAACUCGACUGCACAAUUUGUGGUGGGGAGGGACUGUGUUCGUGCUUUCCUCUG